This 69-nucleotide transfer RNA is filed under the name Loxodonta africana (African savanna elephant). It matches the Rfam family "tRNA". Rfam says of the family: Transfer RNA (tRNA) molecules are approximately 80 nucleotides in length. Their secondary structure includes four short double-helical elements and three loops (D, anti-codon, and T loops). Lineage: Eukaryota; Metazoa; Chordata; Mammalia; Proboscidea; Elephantidae. The record is from Rfam by way of RNAcentral.
GCCCUGGUAGUGCAGUGGUUAAGCACUCAGCUGCUAACUGAAACGUCGGUGGUUCAAACCCACCUGGCA